UCCGGUUUGUCACCGGCAGUCUCCUUAGAGUUCCCGACUUUACUCGCUGGCAACUAAGGACAGGGGUUGCGCUCGUUACGGGACUUAACCCAACAUCUCACAACACGAGCUGACGACAGCCAUGCAGCACCUGUCUCUCGGUUCCCGAAGGCACUCCCAUAUCUCUAUGAGAUUCCGAGGAUGUCAAGGGUAGGUAAGGUUCUUCGCGUUGCAUCGAAUUAAACCACAUGCUCCACCGCUUGUGCGGGCCCCCGUCAAUUCCUUUGAGUUUUAAUCUUGCGACCGUACUCCCCAGGCGGAAGACUUAUCGCGUUUGCUUCGAUACCGACAGGUUUUAUCCCACCAACAUCUAGUCUUCAUCGUUUAUAGCAUGGACUAC
RNAcentral lists this unclassified non-coding RNA (379 nucleotides) under uncultured Gammaproteobacteria bacterium. Its description in RNAcentral is "contains 16S-23S intergenic spacer region". The record is from RNAcentral. Lineage: Bacteria; Pseudomonadati; Pseudomonadota; Gammaproteobacteria.